This 195-nucleotide ribosomal RNA is filed under the name uncultured Gammaproteobacteria bacterium. Its description in RNAcentral is "partial 16S ribosomal RNA". It matches the Rfam family "Bacterial small subunit ribosomal RNA", at positions 337 to 524 of the family's 1533-position model. Lineage: Bacteria; Pseudomonadati; Pseudomonadota; Gammaproteobacteria. The record is from RNAcentral.
UCCUACGGGAGGCAGCAGUGGGGAAUAUUGGACAAUGGGGGCAACCCUGAUCCAGCAAUGCCGCGUGUGUGAAGAAGGCCUUCGGGUUGUAAAGCACUUUCAAUAGGGAGGAAAGGUUGUAAGUUAAUACCUUGCAACUGUGACGUUACCUAUAGAAGAAGCACCGGCUAACUCCGUGCCAGCAGCCGCGGUAAU